ACUUAAGCAUAUCAAUAAGCGGAGGAAAAGAAACUAACAAGGAUUCCCCUAGUAACUGCGAGUGAAGCGGGAAGAGCUCAAAUUUAAAAUCUGGCGGCCUUGCCGUCCGAGUUGUAAUUUAGAGAAGCGUUUUCCGCGUCGGACCGUGUACAAGUCUCCUGGAACGGAGCGUCAUAGAGGGUGAGAAUCCCGUCUUUGACACGGACCCCCGGUGCUCUGUGAUACGCUCUCGAAGAGUCGAGUUGUUUGGGAAUGCAGCUCAAAAUGGGUGGUGAACUCCAUCUAAAGCUAAAUAUUGGCGAGAGACCGAUAGCGAACAAGUACCGUGAGGGAAAGAUGAAAAGCACUUUGGAAAGAGAGUGAAACAGUACGUGAAAUUGCUGAAAGGGAAACGCUUGAAGUCAGUCGCGUCCGCCGGAAUUCAGCCUUCAUGGUGUACUUUCUGACGGACGGGCCAGCAUCACUUUUGAUCGCCGGAAAAGGGCAGAGGGAAUGUGGCACCUCCGGGUGUGUUAUAGCCCUCUGUCGUAUACGGUGGUUGGGAGUGAGGACCGCCUAUCUUUGUAGGAUGCUGGCGUAAUGGCUUUAAACGACCCGUCUUGAAACACGGACCAAGGAGUCUAACAUGCCCGCGAGUGUUCGGGUGGAAAACCCGUGCGCGUAAUGAAAGUGAAAGUUGGGAAGGCUGUCAUGGCCUGCACCGACGCCCGGACCUGAGAUUUAUCAAAGGUUCUGCGGUAGAGCGUGUAUGUUGGGACCCGAAAGAUGGUGAACUAUGCCUGAAUAGGGUGAAGCCAGAGGAAACUCUGGUGGAGGCUCGUAGCGAUUCUGACGUGCAAAUCGAUCGUCAAA
RNAcentral lists this ribosomal RNA (852 nucleotides) under Dichostereum rhodosporum. RNAcentral's name for it is "LSU rRNA". It matches the Rfam family "Eukaryotic large subunit ribosomal RNA", at positions 32 to 909 of the family's 3401-position model. The record is from RNAcentral. Lineage: Eukaryota; Fungi; Basidiomycota; Agaricomycetes; Russulales; Lachnocladiaceae.